UUAAAAGCUGUGACGGGAAGAAGUAACCGCAUCAUGCCGGCAAAGAGAGUCUCCGGGCGCUGUGAGGGGACGCGGCAUGGCGGCGAAAUACAUCUCCGAGCUGCGAGGCUGAACAAUUAUAGUAGGCCGAGCCGCAGGCGUGCGUUAUACGCUGAGCGCAAUGCUCCUGAGACUCCGCAAGGAGUGAACAGAGGUGGUACCGCGGUAAUUCGCCCUCUGC
This 220-nucleotide non-coding RNA is filed under the name Ruminococcus sp. Its description in RNAcentral is "T-box sequence". It matches the Rfam family "T-box leader". Rfam says of the family: Uncharged tRNA acts as the effector for transcription antitermination of genes in the T-box leader family. T-boxes are found upstream of many aminoacyl-tRNA synthetase genes and some amino acid biosynthetic genes usually in Gram-positive bacteria. The anticodon of a specific tRNA base pairs to a specifier sequence within the T-box motif, and the NCCA acceptor tail of the tRNA base pairs to a conserved bulge in the T-box antiterminator hairpin. The record is from RNAcentral. Lineage: Bacteria; Bacillati; Bacillota; Clostridia; Eubacteriales; Oscillospiraceae.